GGUAAUGAUGGCAGAGAGGUCACACCCGUUCCCAUACCGAACACGGAAGUUAAGCUCUCUAGCGCCGAUGGUAGUUGGGACCUUGUCCCUGUGAGAGUAGGACGUUGC
RNAcentral lists this ribosomal RNA (108 nucleotides) under Bacillus thuringiensis. RNAcentral also lists the same sequence under 2 other names. The record is from RNAcentral. Lineage: Bacteria; Bacillati; Bacillota; Bacilli; Caryophanales; Bacillaceae.